Molecule: long non-coding RNA, 189 nt
Organism: Hippocampus zosterae (dwarf seahorse)
Lineage: Eukaryota; Metazoa; Chordata; Actinopteri; Syngnathiformes; Syngnathidae
Exons: 2
Source: RefSeq, a predicted model, not a curated record
ACCUCCGCCUGCGUGAUGCCAGUAUUCUUCAAGAAGACGAAGCCCACGUCCGUAAAAGCCACUUUUAACUCUCUGCAGAGUUGGUGAAGGUUUGCACUGGAAAUAUCCUCGACGCUGAGGCUAGCCAUGCUAAAGUCGACCACCGGGAUGCUCAUCGUUUCGAAUUAAAACGACAAAAACAACAAAAAA